Molecule: non-coding RNA, 99 nt
Organism: Fomitopsis schrenkii
Lineage: Eukaryota; Fungi; Basidiomycota; Agaricomycetes; Polyporales; Fomitopsidaceae
Source: the annotation of a GenBank genome assembly
UCCCUGGUAGUAUAUCGGUUAGUACACGCGCCUGUCAUGUUAAGGCUGGCAAAUUGCUCCUUUACGCGCGAAAGCGGGGUUCGACUCCCCGCCAGGGAG